AUGAAGGAGGGCGAUGCCGCAGGUGUGGUGCACAGAGAUGAAAUGGAGGCAGAGGUGUUCAAGGCGUUGCUCUGUUUUGCGUAUACCGACUCCUUACCGGUGACAGAAAAGGAAGAUGAAGAUGUCAUGUACCAGCAUCUGCUUGUUGCGGCGGACAGGUAUAACAUGGAGAGGCUGAAGAGUAUUUGCGAGGAAAAGCUAUGCAAGUUCAUCAACGCAGCCACAAUAGCGACCAUCCUGACGUUAGCUGAGCAGCACCACUGUGAGGGCCUAAAGAAGGCAUGCUUAAAUUUUCUUCGCUUCCCGGCAAAUCUUAGGGCUUUGUUAGACAGCGACGGCUUCGAUCAUCUGAGCAGGAGCUGCCCCUCAGUUAUUAAGAAUCUGAUUGCCAUGUCCGCCCUCGUUUAG
RNAcentral lists this ribosomal RNA (408 nucleotides) under Triticum aestivum (bread wheat). Its description in RNAcentral is "partial small subunit ribosomal RNA". The record is from RNAcentral. Lineage: Eukaryota; Viridiplantae; Streptophyta; Magnoliopsida; Poales; Poaceae.